This 564-nucleotide small RNA is filed under the name Pongo abelii (Sumatran orangutan). Its description in RNAcentral is "retained intron". Lineage: Eukaryota; Metazoa; Chordata; Mammalia; Primates; Hominidae. The record is from RNAcentral.
UUGCCAGGGUUCAAAUUCAAGCUUUUGUACCAAAUAAUACGUAGGAAACAUUCAGUGACUUGCAUUUGUGAUUUCCUUAUUUCCCCUUAACUCAUAGACUGUCUCAUGACUGCGUCUCCCUCCAUUGUUUUAGGCAUCCGUGUCAUUCUGGACCUUACUCCCAACUACCGGGGUGAGAACUCGUGGUUCUCCACUCAGGUUGACACUGUGGCCACCAAGGUGAAGGAUGCUCUGGAGUUUUGGCUGCAAGCUGGCGUGGAUGGGUUCCAGGUUCGGGACAUAGAGAAUCUGAAGGAUGCAUCCUCAUUCUUGGCUGAGUGGCAAAACAUCACCAAGGGCUUCAGUGAAGACAGGCUCUUGAUUGCAGGGACUAACUCCUCCGACCUUCAGCAGAUCCUGAGCCUACUCGAAUCCAACAAAGACUUGCUGUUGACUAGCUCAUACCUGUCUGAUUCUGGUUCUACUGGGGAGCAUACAAAAUCCCUAGUCACACAGUACUUGAAUGCCACUGGCAAUCGCUGGUGCAGCUGGAGUGUGAGUACCACGCUGGCGGGAAAGGGGGCA